GAUGAACGCUGGCGGCGUGCCUAAUACAUGCAAGUCGAGCGAACAGACGAGGAGCUUGCUCCUCUGACGUUAGCGGCGGACGGGUGAGUAACACGUGGAUAACCUACCUAUAAGACUGGGAUAAAUUCGGGAAACCGGAGCUAAUACCGGAUAAUAUAUUGAACCGCAUGGUUCAAUAGUGAAAGACGGUUUUGCUGUCACUUAUAGAUGGAUCCGCGCCGCAUUAGCUAGUUGGUAAGUUAACGGCUUACCAAGGCAACGAUGCGUAGCCGACCUGAGAGGGUGAUCAGCCACACUGGAACGGAGACACGAUCCAGACUCCUACGGGAGGCAGCAGUAGGGAAUCUUCCGCAAUGGGCGAAAGCCUGACGGAGCAACGCCGCGUGAGUGAUGAAGGUCUUCGGAUCGUAAAACUCUGUUAUUAGGGAAGAACAAAUGUGUAAGUAACUAUGCACGUCUUGACGGUACCUAAUCAGAAAGCCACGGCUAACUACGUG
RNAcentral lists this ribosomal RNA (497 nucleotides) under uncultured bacterium. RNAcentral describes it as "partial 16S ribosomal RNA". It matches the Rfam family "Bacterial small subunit ribosomal RNA", at positions 28 to 507 of the family's 1533-position model. The record is from RNAcentral.